AGCUUGUUGGUGAGGUAAUGGCUCACCAAGGCGACGACGGGUAGCCGGCCUGAGAGGGCGACCGGCCACACUGGGACUGAGACACGGCCCAGACUCCUACGGGAGGCAGCAGUGGGGAAUAUUGCACAAUGGGCGCAAGCCUGAUGCAGCGACGCCGCGUGAGGGAUGACGGCCUUCGGGUUGUAAACCUCUUUCAGCAGGGAAGAAGCGCAAGUGACGGUACCUGCAGAAGAAGCGCCGGCUAACUACGUGCCAGCAGCCGCGGUAAUACGUAGGGCGCAAGCGUUGUCCGGAAUUAUUGGGCGUAAAGAGCUCGUAGGCGGCUUGUCACGUCGGGUGUGAAAGCCCGGGGCUUAACCCCGGGUCUGCAUUCGAUACGGGCUAGCUAGAGUUCGGUAGGGGAGAUCGGAAUUCCUGGUGUAGCGGUGAAAUGCGCAGAUAUCAGGAGGAACACCGGUGGCGAAGGCGGAUCUCUGGGCCGAUACUGACGCUGAGGAGCGAAAGCGUGGGGAGCGAACAGGAUUAGAUACCCUGGUAGUCCACGCCGUAAACGGUGGGCACUAGGUGUGGGCGACAUUCCACGUCGUCCGUGCCGCAGCUAACGCAUUAAGUGCCCCGCU
Molecule: ribosomal RNA, 620 nt
Filed under: Streptomyces sp. DP3
Lineage: Bacteria; Bacillati; Actinomycetota; Actinomycetes; Kitasatosporales; Streptomycetaceae
Description: bacterial SSU rRNA
Rfam family: Bacterial small subunit ribosomal RNA
Source: RNAcentral